Long non-coding RNA from Siniperca chuatsi (mandarin fish), 3908 nucleotides. RefSeq lists it as uncharacterized. NCBI's taxonomy places the organism in Eukaryota, Metazoa, Chordata, Actinopteri, Centrarchiformes, Sinipercidae. The record is from RefSeq and is a predicted model, not a curated record. The transcript has 2 exons.
CGACGGGUUCCUCUCUCUCUCUCUCUCUCUCCCCCUCUCUCUGUCUCCCUCUUACAGCCGUCCAGUGUUCAUGCUCUGCUCAGUUAGUUAGGGAUACACACUCAGCCACUGGAGUGCAAGAAAAGGUAUGUUAGGUUACACAUCAUGUAGAGCAAGCAGGGGAAGCCACUUCAACAGGGGUGCCUUUUUUCCUUUUUUAUUUCAGUAUAAAAUAUUUAAAAGCCAAGACAUCAGAAAAACAUGUUUUACAUUGCUGAGCAGUAUAAAAGUUUGAUAGAGGGGAUGAGCCUUUAAUAAGGGUUGAUAGUCUUGGCAGGAGAGAUAAGACUAAAAUCUUUUUUUGUAAGCUUUGCAGAAUAAAGACAAAGGAGGAUGGAAAUGUACACAUGAAACUGCUGUGUUACCCUCCCACCCCCAUCUGCCCAUCAACUGACUCCAAUCUUCAACUUGACAUCAUCCUUCCACACUGACAAGAAGAAGAAGAAGAAGAAGAAGAGGAGGAGGAGAGAGAAGCAGAGGUGGGGAGGCAAACAAAACAGACAGAGAAGGAGGAGGACGAGUCGAGAGGAGGUGGGCAGCACAGUUUCAGCUUUCAAAAAGGCUGAGGAGGAAAAAGUGAAGGCAGCUAGAACUUGGCCACUAGUGAGAUGAAAUUCGGGGAGGAGACGCUGGAGCGCUGCAGGGUACGACAUCCAACGAGAGCCCUAAAAUUGGACCGCCUGGAAGACGAGCCAUCCCUCUCUGGAUCCUGUGCCUCUCCACAGCCAAAGGAUGAGAGGGGUCGACUUUCACCUUAGUUGCCAGGGAUGUCUGUGCACUAAGGAAAGGUGUCCCCCUUCAGCAUGUCCAAUGCUGUGUUAUUCCUGAUGCUUUGCAAGAUUGGUCUGAGACGAAAACUGCAGACUUUUCCAGGGAAAAUGGUAAACACUCUCCACAGUGAUGAGGAAAAGGGAAUCCAAGACAAGGAAAGUAAGGAGGAGAGCAUCUUGGCCAUGUUGGGCAUCAUUGGGACCAUUCUCAACUUGGUAGUCAUCAUCUUUGUCUACAUCUACACCACCUUGUAGGUCUCGAACUCUCGUUGCACUUCACCAGCGGCCAGAUCAGAGCCAUUGCAGCUACAGUGUGUCGACUGAUUUGGAAAUGAAGAUGGGAGGGGUGAGGAAGAGGCUGAACUUCCCCGGUGGUGAACUGGAUCUAAGACUAUGUGAUCGCCAUAUGGCAUCCAUCCUGCAUCACUUCAAACAACUAAGAUUAAGGGAAACUGGCUUGUUCCUCUCCCCUUUACAGGUAGAAUUAUCCAGAAUACCUGGUCACUUUUGACUUGUACAUAAAUGCAUGAAGCUAACGAGAGAUGUUCAAAGGAGGCAGCUUUUACCAACACAGGGAAAUGAAAGACUGCAGAGAGCGUGGAAACUUUUGGAAAUAAUUUUUCAGAUCUUAUUAACUGAACUAUGGAAAUGAUCUGAUUUGCUGACAUGGGAUAAAAGAUGAAGAUGUACAGAAACACAGGUAUCUGCAUUGAUGUUUAUUAUUUUUUCUCAGAUUCUCUCAGUAAAACACAACGUACAUCCAUUUAUAUAAGAUUUAAACAGACAUAUUAAAGAAUUUAUACUGUAUUUCUCACUGUUUUCUGUAAAAACUGACUUUGAAUGGUGUUUUAUUUCCUUGGAGACUAUAUCGACUGAAGGUAGGUUACAUUCACACAAUUCUAAGCUGUUAAAUGUGCAUUUACUGAAACAAAUGGUUUUAAAUGGCAUUAAGUCAGUUUGAAGUGCUGAAAUGCUAUCCGUAAAUGUGUGCACUUGACAUAAAAUGGCUGAAGAUCAGAUAGAUUAGUACAAGAUGGCUUGAUUAUCAUUUAUUAUUCAAGAUUUUGAUGCAUCACUUCAGGGUCAUCAACACUGAAAUAAGAUGCAUCCAUUUGUGAGAAAAUGAUUUUAGCUUUUUCAGCUCUGGAGACUGAGGAGAUGUUUUACUUAUUGGCUUCGGCCAGAUGCAGCAACUUAGGCUGACAUUGAGUUCUACUAUACAUUUCAGCCUGCAGGAGUAUACCGACAUGCACAUUUACAAACAGAUACAUGCGCCAUGAUCACACUGUAACUUGUCCACCCGUAGGUGUACAUAGAAUAACUGAGCUUGAGAGCUUAGGAUAGACUGAAUUUUUCAGAAUUGAUCUGAGUUUAUACAUAAUUGAUUCAAAACUGAAUCAAUUGUGCAUAAUGACUGUAUGCCUUAAAACAUGAGGAAAUGGCUAUUUCCAUGAUGUAUAAAAUUAUCAGGUUAUUACCACUUUGUGAAAGGUUUCACUUAUUGUAUAUACUUGUAAUCUAAUGCCAAUGUCAUAUUGUUUUUCUUUAUGAAAGGCCAUUUAUUGGGUAAUUUUAUAUAAGAACCCUGCUUUUGUCUUAAACAACAUGCAAAAGUUUUAUGUUCUUAAAUUGUGACUUAAAAUGUGGAAUUUGAGUUAUUUCCAGACCUGGGCCAACUCAGUUUUUAUCCUUUUCUGUAGUGAAAGACAGGUGUGGGUUUUCCCACACUGGACAAUACUGUGAAUCUUGUGAAAUUUACAUGAUCACAGGAAUUUAGUAACUUUUGGUAGUUUUUUCUUUGAUUGACUGAACUUACACUGUGUCAUUUGUCCUACAAAUCUUACACUGGUUCAUAGGAUACAUUUUAUUUGACCCAGAACUGGAAAUAAGGCAACAUUUUUGUACUUGAUGGCAAAACAUGAGUAGAAAGUGUGUCAAAAAUACUUUCUGUAUUUAUAGGUUGAUCAGAAUCUGGGCCAGUAUGUUUCAGCUUGUACAAAUUGAAUCAGUUUGAGUCAUGUGACAUAAACUGAAAUUAACAUUCUGUUUUUCAUUAAUUUGUGUACAAGAGGCCUGCAAAAUUAUUUACCUGUAACAAUUUUCUCAUUUACCUUUGAGUUACAGAUUAAUUUAAUUAAAUUGCAUUUAAAGGAAUAGUUCAACAUUUUGGGAAAUACGAUAGGAGUCUCUACUGCUUGUCCGGCACAUAACCCCUUGUAAAAGCAUAACCUGUCAAUUUUAGUGGGCUUUAGAGGCGCUGGUAGGUACAUUUUGUACAAAUGCUAUUCCCCUGUUUCCAGUCUUUAUACUAAGCUAAUCGUCACCUCGCUGCAGCUUCAUAUUUAACGAACAGAUAUUGUAGUGAUAUUGAUCUUCUCAUCUAACUCUUAGCAAGAAAGCAAAUAAGCAUAUUUUUACAAAAUGUCAAACUAUUCCUUUAAAAAAAAGAAGCUAUAAGGGAUGAGAAAAGGCCUAACGAUGUACAGUAUGUAGAGAAUGUAAGGCUAUAGACAACAGGCUACAUUAUGUGUAAACUAUUACGUUUGUGUUCGUCAGUCAACAACCUCAUUAUUUCAGAAAGUGCCUGAGAUCAAAGUGUCUCAACCUCACCAGUAGAGAGGUGAAGGAAAGGAAAACAUAAACCGGUGAGAGUAUCUUUAUAAGGCCACCUGUCAAACAUCCAGGAGAGUGGAAGAAGCUUGCAGGAAAACGCAAAUGCAUCCUGAUCCACUCCUCUGCAUUCAUAAUGGGACUGGAUUUCUACUACAUGGCUUAGUUAAUAAAGUCAGCCAUUUUUUGUCUUGGGUUAGGUGCUCCUGCUUGUUGGACAGAAUAAGGAAAAUGAAAGCCUAGUAAGCACAUGGACAGGUCUCACGAAUGUAUUCAUAUUUGAUGUGAAAGUUUGAUGUUAUUCUUAUUGUUUACUUAUCUUUCCUAAAGCUAUGUAAUCUAAACUUAUUCUUAUGUUUUAUUUAUGUGUGUGCUAAAUCUAUUUAAACUCAUUGAAUAAUCUCUUGUGGGUGACAAGUGGAAGGGUUAAAAGUUUUUUCAGCCUGCAGUUUGAUUAAAAAACAUUAAAUAAAUACAUCUUGAAACUGA